Ipomoea triloba (trilobed morning glory) is the source of this 1116-nucleotide long non-coding RNA. RefSeq lists it as uncharacterized. The record is from RefSeq and is a predicted model, not a curated record. The transcript has 3 exons. Lineage: Eukaryota; Viridiplantae; Streptophyta; Magnoliopsida; Solanales; Convolvulaceae.
GGAAAUUAGGCAAAUCAGAAUAAACAAGGAAAGCUUAAAUCAUGGGAUUUGACAAAAUAAAUCAGGGGGCAAUCAUCUCAACAAUCAUCUCCUUUCUAUAAUUAUUGAUUUCCUGCACUAUAUAUUAGAAUGUCUAGAUGAGGGUAAAGGCAUCGAAUCUGUUACCAUUAGUCUUUUAGCUCUAAGUAGCUGGACAAGAGCCUAAUACUCUUGUUGGGGAAGUCUUGUGAUUUCCUAUUUCUCCCUUUCAAUCAACAAAACACCCCUCCUUGUUCUUUUCUCUAACAUAACUCAAAAGAGCUUUUAUCAAGCAGUGACUGUCCUAAAGGAGUUAGGACAUCCUCAGGUUUGGCCAAGAUGUCUGGCCAAAUCUUUUGUAAUGGCUGGAGUGAGCAGUGCUGAUUAAGGUUUGAUGCUAAAUGUGCAGUACCUCUUCUGCAUGCCUUCCAUAUUUCAUGUAACCCCUAUUUGGCAACACCAUCUUUUUCAACUUUAUUAACUAGUCUGGGGUGUCAACUUUAUUGCUAUUUCUCUCUCUUUCUUUAUAAUACUUCUCAAGAAAAGUCUCAAACUUUGCCUUGCUCUCCAUUAGAAAUUUGUUGAUCAUCAUUUUCUUCAUUUUUGUGUUCGAGGAAAGACUGCAGAAAUGGCUGCUGAUGGGUGCCCCUUCUCCUAACUGUUUUGCUGAGCAAGAGUUAAUCAAACAAGUUGUUGAUGCUGGGAAUGAGCUUCUUGAGAACCUCCCGGCUUCAAAAGAGGAGCUUUUGGAAAAACUUCAAGAUAACAAGGAGCUUGCACCAAAUUUUUCUUUCCCUAAAUAUAUUGGAUCAUCUGCACUACCAAAGUUGCAGGUCGGCAAUAACUUGAAAGUUAAGCAGUGACUGUCCUAAAGAAGUUAUUCCAUCCUCAGAUUUGGCCAAGAUGUCUGGCCAAAUCUUUUGUAAUGGCUGGAGUAAGCAAUGCUGAUUAAGACUGCAGAAAUGGCUGCUGAUAGGUGCUGCUUCUCCUGCCCAUUUUGCUGAGCAAGAGUUAAUCAGACAACUUGUCGAUUCUGGGAAUGAGCUUCUUGAGAACCUCCCGACUUCAAAAGAGGAGCUUUUGGAAAAACUUCAAGUG